UGGGGAAUAUUGCACAAUGGGCGCAAGCCUGAUGCAGCCAUGCCGCGUGUGUGAAGAAGGCCUUCGGGUUGUAAAGCACUUUCAGCGAGGAGGAAGGUGGUGAGCUUAAUACGCUCAUCAAUUGACGUUACUCGCAGAAGAAGCACCGGCUAACUCCGUGCCAGCAGCCGCGGUAAUACGGAGGGUGCAAGCGUUAAUCGGAAUUACUGGGCGUAAAGCGCACGCAGGCGGUUUGUUAAGUCAGAUGUGAAAAUCCCCGGGCUCAACCUGGGAACUGCAUUUGAAACUGGCAAGCUAGAGUCUCGUAGAGGGGGGUAGAAUUCCAGGUGUAGCGGUGAAAUGCGUAGAGAUCUGGAGGAAUACCGGUGGCGAAGGCGGCCCCCCUGGACGAAGACUGACGCUCAGGUGCGAAAGCGUGGGGAGCAAAACAGGAUUAGAUACCCUGGUAGUCCACGCUGUAAAACGAUGUCGAUUUGGAGGUUGUGCCCUUGAGGCGUGGCUUCCGGAGCUAACGCGUUAAAUCGACCGCCUGGGGAGUACGGCCGCAA
Molecule: ribosomal RNA, 548 nt
Filed under: uncultured bacterium
Lineage: Bacteria
Description: partial 16S ribosomal RNA
Rfam family: Bacterial small subunit ribosomal RNA
Source: RNAcentral